This 185-nucleotide ribosomal RNA is filed under the name uncultured Methanomicrobiales archaeon. Its description in RNAcentral is "partial 16S ribosomal RNA". It matches the Rfam family "Archaeal small subunit ribosomal RNA", at positions 1154 to 1338 of the family's 1478-position model. Lineage: Archaea; Methanobacteriati; Methanobacteriota; Methanomicrobia; Methanomicrobiales. The record is from RNAcentral.
ACCCGUAAUAUCCGGGCUACACGCGGGCUACAAUGGGUGGGACAAUGGGUAUCGACACCGAAAGGUGAAGGCAAUCUCCUAAACCCAUCCGUAGUUCGGAUUGUGGGCUGCAACUCGCCCACAUGAAGCUGGAAUCUGUAGUAAUCGUGUCUCAAAAUGGCACGGUGAAUAUGUCCCUGCUCCUU